CAGUCGCCACGGGAAUACGUAGGGGGCAAGCGUUGUCCGGAAUUAUUGGGCGUAAAGUGCGCGCAGGCGGUCAUGUAAGUCUGGUGUUUAAUCCCGGGGCUCAACCCCGGAUCGCACUGGAAACUGGGUGACUUGAGUGCAGAAGAGGAGAGUGGAAUUCCACGUGUAGCGGUGAAAUGCGUAGAGAUGUGGAGGAACACCAGUGGCGAAGGCGACUCUCUGGGCUGUAACUGACGCUGAGGCGCGAAAGCGUGGGGAGCAAACAGGAUUAGAUACCCGUGUAGUCCCUGUCUCUUAUACC
RNAcentral lists this ribosomal RNA (301 nucleotides) under uncultured bacterium. RNAcentral describes it as "partial 16S ribosomal RNA". It matches the Rfam family "Bacterial small subunit ribosomal RNA", at positions 509 to 808 of the family's 1533-position model. The record is from RNAcentral.